This is a non-coding RNA of Cricetulus griseus (Chinese hamster), 689 nucleotides long. The record is from the annotation of a RefSeq genome assembly. Lineage: Eukaryota; Metazoa; Chordata; Mammalia; Rodentia; Cricetidae.
CUCACCAUGGGAUGGAGCUGGAUCAUUGUCUUCUUUGUGUCAGUGACUACAGGUGUCCACUCCCAGGUCCAGCUGCAGCAGUCUGGUCCUCAGCUGGUGAAGCCUGGAGCCUCAGUGAAGUUGUCCUGCAAGGCUUCUGGCUACACCUUUACUAGCAACUAUAUGAGCUGGGUGAAGCAGAGGCCUGGACAGGGCUUGGAGUGGAUGGGUCGUCUCAACCCUUACAAUGGAGACACGAUCUAUGCACAGAAGUUCCAAGGACGGAUCUCCAUUACCAGAGACACAUCCUCAAGCACAGCCUACAUGGAGCUCAGCAGCCUGACAUCUGAUGAGUCUGGGUUCUUUUACUGUGCAAGACACACACACUGUUGCAACCACAUCCUGAGUGUGUCAGAAACCCUGGAGGGGCAGGAAGCUGCCCUGGGACUGAAGUGACAGAGAAGUUUAGCCUGGAGUCUUUCUCAGAAAUAAUCACUUGAGUGGCAAUUUUUCUGCCCCCCUCCUCACAGUCCUAAGUGUCUUUGUCAACUUUUCCAAAUUAUAGCUGUAAAUAAAAUGAUGCUGAAUGAGGUUCAGUAACCACAUCCUUUUACAUGUAUCUUCUGUAAUGAAACACUAAAGGGAAAACUCUGAAAAUGCAUAGUGAGAAAACUAUCGCUGGAUUCUAAGAGACUGGAACAUCCGAUGGA